Panicum virgatum (switchgrass) is the source of this 139-nucleotide small nucleolar RNA. RefSeq annotates it as small nucleolar RNA Z247. NCBI's taxonomy places the organism in Eukaryota, Viridiplantae, Streptophyta, Magnoliopsida, Poales, Poaceae. The transcript has a single exon. The record is from RefSeq and is a predicted model, not a curated record.
AAACUUGAAGACGAAGAAAUUGCCUCCUACAUCCUCUCCGGCCUCGACAUCGAGUACAAUCGCGUGGUGUCGGCCAUUCCGGCUCGGACGGAGCCGAUCUCCUUGGGUGAGUUGUUCACAUACCUUUCAUCAUUUGAGC